AAGACUAUAGACCUGCGGAGUACCUGCGGAGGGAUCAUUACUGAGUGAGGGCCCUCUGGGUCCAACCUCCCACCCGUGUUUAUUGUACCUUGUUGCUUCGGUGGGCCCGCCGCAAGGCCGCCGGGGGCUUCCGCCCCGGGCCCGCGCCCACCGGAGACAAACUGAACUCUGUCUGAAUGUUGCAGUCUGAGUAAAAACUUAAUAAGUUAAAACUUUUAACAAUGGAUCUCUAGAUCGGAA
Molecule: unclassified non-coding RNA, 240 nt
Filed under: soil metagenome
Description: partial contains 5.8S ribosomal RNA, internal transcribed spacer 2, and large subunit ribosomal RNA
Source: RNAcentral